This 2305-nucleotide ribosomal RNA is filed under the name Clostridioides difficile. RNAcentral describes it as "23S ribosomal RNA". It matches the Rfam family "Bacterial large subunit ribosomal RNA", at positions 600 to 2925 of the family's 2925-position model. Lineage: Bacteria; Bacillati; Bacillota; Clostridia; Peptostreptococcales; Peptostreptococcaceae. The record is from RNAcentral.
CGUACUUUUUGUAGAACGGGCCAACGAGUUACGUUAAGUAGCAAGGUUAAGCACUUAAGGUGUGGAGCCGUAGCGAAAGCGAGUUUUAACUGAGCGUUCAGUUACUUGACGUAGACCCGAAACCGGGCGACCUACCCAUGAGCAGGAUGAAGCGAAAGUAAAAUUUCGUGGAGGUCCGAACCCACGAGCGUUGAAAAGCUCGGGGAUGACUUGUGGGUAGCGGUGAAAUUCCAAUCGAGCCCGGAGAUAGCUGGUUCUCCCCGAAAUAGCUUUAGGGCUAGCCUCAAGGUGAGAGAUACGGAGGUAGAGCACUGAAUGUCCUAGGGGGUAUUGCACCUACCGAAGACUAUCAAACUCCGAAUGCCGUCAUCUUAUACUUGGGAGUCAGACUGUGGGUGAUAAGAUUCAUAGUCGAAAGGGCAACAGCCCAGAUCGUCAGCUAAGGUCCCUAAAUGUAAGUUAAGUGGUAAAGGAUGUGGGAUUGCACAGACAACCAGGAUGUUGGCUUAGAAGCAGCCACUCAUUCAAAGAGUGCGUAAUAGCUCACUGGUCGAGUGAUCCUGCGCCGAAGAUUUCCGGGGCUAAAACUUACUACCGAAGCUACGGCAUCAGUAAUGAUGGGUAGGGGAGCUUCCCAUACGGGUUGAAGCAUGACCGUAAGGACAUGUGGACAGUAUGGGAGUGAGAAUGUUGGCAUGAGUAGCGAGAUGUGGGUGAGAAUCCCACAGGCCGUAAACCCAAGGUUUCCAGGGGAAGGUUCGUCCGCCCUGGGUUAGUCGGGACCUAAGCUGAGGCCGAAAGGCGUAGGUGAUGGACAACAGGUUGAUAUUCCUGUACUACCGAUAACCGUUUGAGAGAAGGGAUGACACAGUAGGAUAAGCUAAGCACACUGUUGGUUAUGUGUGCCCAAGCAUUGAGGCAGUCAAAGUAGGCAAAUCCGCUUUGAUAAUGCUGGGAUGUGAUGGGGAGCGAAAUUUAGUAGCGAAGUAGCUGAUUUCACACUGUCAAGAAAAGUCUCUAUCGAGGUUAAAGGUACCCGUACCGCAAACCGACACAGGUGGGUGAGGAGAGUAUCCUAAGGCCAGCGAGAGAACUGUUGUUAAGGAACUCGGCAAAAUGACCCCGUAACUUAGGGAUAAGGGGUGCCACCAUCAGGUGGCCGCAGAGAAUAGGCCCAAGCGACUGUUUACCAAAAACAUAGGUUUCUGCUAAGUCGCAAGACGAUGUAUAGGAGCUGACGCCUGCCCGGUGCUGGAAGGUUAAGGGGAUCUGUUAGAGCAAUCGAAGCAGUGAACUUAAGCCCCAGUAAACGGCGGCCGUAACUAUAACGGUCCUAAGGUAGCGAAAUUCCUUGUCGGGUAAGUUCCGACCCGCACGAAAGGCGUAACGAUUUGGGCACUGUCUCAACAACAGACUCGGUGAAAUUGUAAUUCCGGUGAAGAUGCCGGAUACCUGCGACAGGACGGAAAGACCCCAUGGAGCUUUACUGUAGCUUGACAUUGGGUCUUGGUACUACAUGUACAGGAUAGGUGGGAGGCUUUGAAACCAGGACGCCAGUUUUGGCGGAGCCAUCCUUGGGAUACCACCCUUGUAGUACUGGGACUCUAACCAUAGGCCAUGAAUCUGGUCUUGGGACACUGUCAGGUGGGCAGUUUGACUGGGGCGGUCGCCUCCCAAAAGGUAACGGAGGCGCUCAAAGGUUCUCUCAGUACGGUCGGAAAUCGUACGUAGAGUGUAAAGGCAAAAGAGAGCUUGAUUGCAAGACAUACAGGUCGAGCAAGGAUGAAAAUCGGACUUAGUGAUCCGGUGGUUCUGCGUGGAAGGGCCAUCGCUCAACGGAUAAAAGCUACCCUGGGGAUAACAGGCUUAUCUCCCCCAAGAGUCCACAUCGACGGGGAGGUUUGGCACCUCGAUGUCGGCUCAUCACAUCCUGGGGCUGUAGUAGGUCCCAAGGGUUGGGCUGUUCGCCCAUUAAAGUGGUACGCGAGCUGGGUUCAGAACGUCGUGAGACAGUUCGGUCCCUAUCCGUCGCAGGCGUAGGAAAUUUGAGAAGACCUGUCCUUAGUACGAGAGGACCGGGAUGGACGUACCUCUGGUGUACCAGUUGUCCUGCCAAGGGCAUGGCUGGGUAGCUAUGUACGGAAUGGAUAAGCGCUGAAAGCAUCUAAGCGCGAAGCCAACUUCAAGAUAAGAUUUCCCACCGCAAGGGUAAGACCCCAGAAAGACUAUCUGGUUGAUAGGUCGAAGGUGUAAGUGCAGCAAUGUAUUUAGCUUAUCGAUACUAAUAGGUCGAGGACUUGACCAA